ACAUAGUUCACUAUGGCUGUGUGAACUCUCCUGGCUGGAGAAACAGGUCAAUUACUUGAACCAAUAGGAACUAGAGCUAGAGGCAUUGGAUUGGAGCUCCAAUGGCUCCUGGCUAGAGAAACGGGUCAGUUACUCAACCUGAUUGGAAUUGGAGAUAGGGGUGUCGAAUUAGAGCUCUGAUGGCUAGAGUGUGGUUGCCAACAUUAGGCGAAGAUUAGGGAGGUGGUGCAGCACUGGAAUCUCGCAGGAUUAUCUUUUGGGUCAAACUUGUCCUAUUGGGUUUUGAGGCCUAGGUGUGUUGACUGGACUCUCCAACGACAGAAAAGUGAAGAUUCGCGGAUUGCAAACAUCGGGGAGGGUGGAGAUGUCAGUCACAAUUUGCUUCUGACCCGAAUGAGUCUUUGGUUUCGACCAACCUCAAGUGACUAGAUGAGUAUCUCUUGACUUGCCACAAGUCGACGAGUCUUCAGGUGGG
This 475-nucleotide unclassified non-coding RNA is filed under the name Hevea brasiliensis (rubber tree). Lineage: Eukaryota; Viridiplantae; Streptophyta; Magnoliopsida; Malpighiales; Euphorbiaceae. The record is from RNAcentral.